RNAcentral lists this long non-coding RNA (1024 nucleotides) under Crocodylus porosus (Australian saltwater crocodile). RNAcentral describes it as "lncRNA (ENSCPRG00005013251.1)". Lineage: Eukaryota; Metazoa; Chordata; Crocodylia; Crocodylidae. The record is from RNAcentral.
UGGGGUAGUAUAUUAGUCAAGCACUUCCCUCUUGCUGCAAUUAGUCAAUACCCCAACUUUGCAUACAUCUGUAAGAAAUUUACUUCCUCCUCCCCCUCGCCUUGGGAAGCCUUCCCUUUGUCUCCUGAAUCAGGGAAAGGAUAUGACUGUCAGAUCACUGGCAGUAAUUCGCAGGAUAUAGUCUCAACAAGUCAGAGGAAACACUAAAUACCCCACCAAAGAGACAAUUAAGAGUUAGACAGUAAAGAAUACUGCAUUGUGCAGAAAGCCACUCCAACUUACUUCUGUGCGAUUUAUUUUUAUUUUAUUAAAGCCAAGCUCUAGGGAGGUGCAACUCCUCUUUAGGUGCUGGACAGGCCACUCUCACUUCCAUGACACAACCGAUUUUGUAGACUGGAAACCUCGUUAUUAAGUGGCCUCCCAGCAGCUACAUGUUGGCAACAGACUGCUCAGUAGUUUGGGUGAUCAAUCAGAUGCAGGUUCUCAGCUGCAGAUGUAUUUACAGUCACCGCAGGGGGGUAAGAGGGAGGGGUGGAAAAAAACCCUUCAUCCACAAGUAAAUACUGAAAGACAGCAGUCAAGUAGAGGGUACAAAGUACUCUGUGAUGGUGGCUUCUCUACGGUCCCCACCGCACUCUGGAUUACAUAGCUAGUUUGAGUUGUAUUUCAUUAAACUUCUGCACAAACAGAGAUGACAUUUCCUUCCUGAGAUCAGCCUGAUGAAAAUCUCCAUGGAAGAUGAAUAAUACACUGAAGGAUGCUGCUACCCAUGUCAUCCAGGCCAAAGGUGUAUGAAUAAGAAAAAUCUCCGCCUACCCACAUCUACUAAAAGGGGUUACAUAGGAGAGUCUGAAGAGGAGAGAAGAAAGGAAUGCCCUUACUUUUCAGGGAACCCAGGGGACUGGAGCCUUUUACAAAGAUGUACAAAAAAAGAAGGUGACAAGAAUUACUUAAGAUAUUGUUCAAAGAGCAAAAGGGCUCCCUAAGAGGAGUGAAGCAUGUUAUACCCAGACGCCUGCAGCAG